This 75-nucleotide transfer RNA is filed under the name Myroides guanonis. It matches the Rfam family "tRNA". From Rfam's summary of the family: Transfer RNA (tRNA) molecules are approximately 80 nucleotides in length. Their secondary structure includes four short double-helical elements and three loops (D, anti-codon, and T loops). Lineage: Bacteria; Pseudomonadati; Bacteroidota; Flavobacteriia; Flavobacteriales; Flavobacteriaceae. The record is from Rfam by way of RNAcentral.
GCCGGUGUAGCUCAGCUGGCUAGAGCAGCUGAUUUGUAAUCAGCAGGUCGUGGGUUCGAGUCCCUCCCACAAGCU